CUUAUAAAGCAUCCAAAUGUUGUUCAAUUAUUUGAGGUGAUGGCAAGCAAGACAAAAAUAUACAUUGUUUUGGAAUUUGUUACUGGCGGUGAACUUUUUGAUAAAAUUGCAAGUAGAGGGAGGUUGAAAGAGGAUGAAGCAAGAAAGUAUUUUCAGCAGCUUAUCAAUGCUGUAGAUUACUGUCAUAGCAGAGGCGUGUACCAUAGAGACCUAAAGCCUGAAAAUCUGCUACUGGAUGCUAGUGGAGUUCUUAAAGUUUCAGAUUUUGGACUGAGUGCAGUAUUGUCGAAGCAAAUACGGGGGGAUGGACUGCUUCACACUGCCUGCGGAACCCCAAAUUAUGUUGCCCCU
RNAcentral lists this unclassified non-coding RNA (351 nucleotides) under Hevea brasiliensis (rubber tree). The record is from RNAcentral. Lineage: Eukaryota; Viridiplantae; Streptophyta; Magnoliopsida; Malpighiales; Euphorbiaceae.